This 17-nucleotide ribosomal RNA is filed under the name Mucor hiemalis. RNAcentral's name for it is "partial 28S ribosomal RNA". Lineage: Eukaryota; Fungi; Mucoromycota; Mucoromycetes; Mucorales; Mucoraceae. The record is from RNAcentral.
UUGAUCUGAAAUCAGGC